This is a non-coding RNA of Momordica charantia (bitter melon), 3546 nucleotides long. NCBI's taxonomy places the organism in Eukaryota, Viridiplantae, Streptophyta, Magnoliopsida, Cucurbitales, Cucurbitaceae. The record is from RefSeq and is a predicted model, not a curated record.
AUUUUCAUGCGUCGGGAAAAGUUUUUCCCAACGCUUUUAUGAAGUUAUGCCGACGCUUAUGAAAAGCAUCGGGGAAUGUCUUAAAAAAACCAAAUCCCUAUUUUUCCAAAUCGUUCACAGAAGCGCCCCCACCCUCGCUCAACUUUUUGGCCUCUAAUCCCUAAUCCUUUUUUCCCAAAUCCUCUAUUGCUCUAUAUUUCUUUGCUGGCCACCGACCUUUUCUCCAGCCAACUUCGUUAAUCGUCUGUUGUCGCUUGCCUGCCGCCUCUCCCCUUCCUCCUUCGUGGUACACAGGUAAAACUUGAUGGUGUGGGAAGUGAAUCCAUAGCAUGUCAAAAGUAAGUGAGAUCAAUGCCUCUUACCUAUACACACGACUUAGUUUUGCUCUUCCUAUACAAAUAAAUUAAUACAAUCGAAUUCUUAUUUCCUAUUGUGGCUCAUUCAGUUGUUUUUGUCAUGAGAAGAAAAGACUUUUUUUCUGGCACUUGAUACAGAAAUUUGUUUCUCUGUAGUUUUUUUUUAUCACAAUAUUCUAUUUUUAGUAAUACCAAAGAUCUUUGCUUAGGUAGAGAAUCUCUCUCAUCUUGUAAUUAUUUCUAAUAUCUAAUUAAAAAAUAUCUGAGUACGAUUUAAGCAAGUGAAAUUAAGUUAAGUACUUGGUUUUAACUUCAUCCCAUAUCCUGUAACUGUAGCUUUUAUAUAUAUAUAUAUAUAUAUAAUAUGCAAUCUCUACUAAUAAAGUGUGGAACCAAUAUUCCAAACCUGUAUAAUGAGACUUGUUUAAGUUAAAUUGAUGAAGAAUUUUUACCUUGAAUUAUUAGAUGGGAAUAGUUUGUCUCUGCAAUUGCAAUAUUAGUUAGGAAUAGUUUGUCUCUAAAGUUGGAUUAAUGGGGGAUUCUGGAGAAGUUGUACAAAAAUUAGUUGGAAAUUUAACGAAAGAUUUCUUCCUCUUUUGUUAGGAUAACCAUACCUAAUGAAGAUUUCUUAGCUUUGAGGGAUGGUUUAAGUGCAUUAGGCUUGCCUCAAGGCACAUUCAAUUUCAAUUUUGCCUCCAUAGUUCACUUAGUUGCUGUUUAGCCACCUUUUUUUUUUUUUAUUACUUUCUACUUUCGAGGAGAUUUUAAGACACUUAGGUAGCUUCAAGUGGUGGUUUAUGUGCAUUAGACGCAUAAUGAUAGGAAAAAAAUAUAGAUCAAUCGAUCCUCCUGUAAGUUCUUCAAAUAGUUUUUCUCUUUCCAUAAGCUAAAAUCAUAUAAGUAAUAAUAACAAAGGAAUAAGUGAUAGAGAUAGAAAAGGCUCGCAUGGAUUAUACUGGUUCGCCCCAAUCUUGGUUCUACAUCCAAUCUUUUGCAAAAAGCACAGGUUCUACUAUAGUUAAUGUAUUAAAAUGGAGAUCUCACUUAAGAUAUCACUAUGCAAUGACUAUCUUGCUUCUAAGUAUCCUAACAAUGGCUACCUAGGAUUACACAAUUGAAAAACACCCUCACUAAACCCAAGGGAUAAAGACUCUUUUUCAGACACUACCCAAAACCACUCAAAUCUCUUUUAUUUGGAUUCUGUACAAAUAAAACCUUAACAAAACGACUGCAUUUAUAGGAAGCCAAAUAUACUAGUCCUUAUAGGAUAAUAAUAUUUUAAUCCUUAUAAGACAAAAAAUAUCCUACUCCUUGUAGAAAUUUGUAGUAGUGUUGAAAAUUUUUUUCCUCGUAGGACAUGAGUAAUCUGUUUUGGCUCUAUUAUCUCAACAAUCUCCCACUUGAGACAAAACAUCGAUUUUGGCUCCCAUUGCAACGACAAUCUCUGAUAAUCUUGGAAAACUCCAAGGCUUCUUCUGCAACAAUUUUUGAUCUUCCUGAAAAAUCUUUAAGGCUUUUCUUGCAAGUUUAAAAACUUGUAAAAUAUCAGAAAUUAUUGCUCCCAUCUGUCUUUACCCUGAGGUCGGCAAUCUACGUGGUCUUGUCUCCCAAAUGCAAAAGACAGCCACGUGCUCUCACUCAAACUAAGUGGCAAUAUCUAAAGCUUCCUUCUCCAUUCUCAAACAUUGAUUCUUGAAGAAAUAACUUCCAACUGAUGACUUCAGAACUCUAUUCAAGCGUGCUGCCAAAAUUGAAACUCCACUCUUUACCUCAACACCUACUAGGUUCUUCUUCUCUAAUGCAACUGUUCGCUAACGCGACUUCAUCAAUUCACCCAUUCGUCUGACAAUGGGGGAUAAUCCCUGACAACCUAAAGAACCUGUUUUUAUUUUUUGACUUCCUAAUUGUUGUUUUUGAAUUGAUGAGAGAUCUUCCUGAUCUGUUCUGGUUGUCUUUGUUGUUGGCUCAGUUCUACCUGUUUGGACACCAUCUGCAUCUUGCAUCCAUUGUCUCAAUGAUCCUCUGGCAACAUUCAAUUUCAAUGUGUAAAUUAUAGAUCUUCUGUGACCACCUGCCACUAAGUUGAAUCGUUUGGUGAGCUUUUACUGGUUCUCACCAAACUCACUCUGAUAACCAUCAUCGUCCAACUUACCUAUAGAGAUAAGACUCAUUCUGAUACUUGGUACAUACUUGACAUCUGGCAGUAAUAACUCAAUCCCACUAUUGGUCUUCAAUCAUAUAUUUCCAAUCCCUUAGUCCUGGAAAGCUUUCCAUUCCUCAUCCUCACGUGGCCGCGAUUGCCUCUCCUGAAAGAUGUGAAUGAUCUCCUAUUUGAAGAUAUGUGUACUAAAGUUUCGUUGUCUAUUACCCACUCUGAUGACUGAUUUCUUGUUUUCAUGUUGCUUUCAACACAAACGAGGGCAUCAUCCACAACUGCAUUUGCCUCUACCAUAAAUCUUUUCAGAUCCUCUUUUAAUAUUCUACAGUCUUUCUUAAUGUGGCUUUUCUUGUGUUAGUGAAAACAUUUGACCUCUUUCUUUCGAUUUCAUUUGCUAUACUUUUGCUGCCAAUCUUCAGUCGCAACCUUCUCUUAACCUUCUUGAACAGUCAAUGUUGAGUCUUGUUUGGAAGUAGACUAUUUUCUGAUCUCCUUCCUACGAAUUUCUUCAGCAAUUACCCUAUCACUAAUUUCUGAAAAUUUUAAAGAUUUUUCCCCUAACGAACUGGACACUGCUGUCUUCUUUGUUUCCCAACUUCCAGGUAAAGAUAUUAGUAACAAAAUAGCAUUCACUUUGUCACUAAAAGUAAUUGAUAAAGGAUCUACCUCAAUUAUGCUUGAGAAUUCCCUUAUUCAAGGUGACCUCAUAACAAUAAUAAGAAUAGCUCCAAUAGCUAGAAAGUACUUAAAACAUAUUUGUGCUUGGAAAGAUGAUCAAUGAUCAAGAAUAAAGGAGAACUUGAUCCUAUAUUCAAGAUUUCGAAGUCUCCACAACCUAAUCGAUUAAACUAGAUUGAAAGUUCUAAAACAUGCAUUCUAACACAAGAAUACAAAGAAAUCAUAGAGCUUGAGAGAGACUAAAUUCAAUCUGAAAUUUUCAUUCAUCAAAAUGUUGUGUUUGGAAAGCAAAUAUACAUCCAUAUUUAAAGUAAUUGAAAAGACACAAUGAAACUACACAACCCUGUGUCUAAC